Molecule: ribosomal RNA, 325 nt
Filed under: uncultured eukaryote
Lineage: Eukaryota
Description: partial 18S ribosomal RNA
Rfam family: Eukaryotic small subunit ribosomal RNA
Source: RNAcentral
CCCCUAGAUGUUCUGGGCCGCACGCGCGCUACACUGAACAGUUCAACAAGUCUUAACCUUGGCCGAUAGGUCUGGGUAAUCUUUGAACGCUGUUCGUGAUUGGGAUAGACCUUUGCAAUUAUGGGUCUUCAACGAGGAAUUCCUAGUAAACGCAAGUCAUCAGCUUGCAUUGAUUACGUCCCUGCCCUUUGUACACACCGCCCGUCGCACCUACCGAUUGAAUGGUCCGGUGAAGCCUCGGGAUUGUGGCUGGUUUCCUUUAUUGGAGGUCGGUCGCGAGAACUUGUCUAAACCUUAUCAUUUAGAGGAAGGUGANGUCGUAACA